CCAUGGUGGCGUCCGCCUGUUCUCCCCGCUGCCUGCUCUCCUCCGCAUGCCGCGCCGUCGCACGACGCCUCCUCCAUGUUGCCACGAUGUCGCUCAGCGCCUCCUCCUCCACCCCUCUGCCUCGCCCCGCCGCCUCCUCGCCGCACGACGGCCUCGCCUCGCCAGCAACCCCGCCGGUCUUACCUAGAUAAACUCUGCCGCUGCCAUCCCCAUGUCCCAGCGCAGAUCUAGACGGGAGCUAGAGGGGCAUGCUGGACACGAUGCGGGAGCGGGCAUAUCAUAGCGGACCGAGAUCCAGUGCGUCUACGUGCCCGCCGUCAUCGUUGCCCCCCGUGCUUGGCUCCCACACUCGCUCCAGGUAGGUGCUCGCAGCUCGCCUACUGCUCGGCUGCUCCAGGUACUUGACGGACUCAGGUAGUCGUAAUUGGAUGUCAGCUUCUUAAUCAGUACUCAUAGUUUUUGUGUACCUAUCAUUUGUCAAUUGAAGUGGAAAUGAAAUUCUAGUCUUAUUUUACUAAAUUGUGAGAUUCAGGAUCUGGUUGAUAUUUUGAGAGUUUUUACCAUUUAGGUUUUUGGUAACGCACAUCAGGAAUGCACACUUUAAUUUAUUUUAAGUGUGUACCUAUCAUUUGUUGUGUUUUAACAUAUCUUGCCACUACUCUGUAGUUAAAGCACAACGUGAGGCUGCAGCAGAAGCUUGAGGAAUGCAGGGGCUAAUAAUAGUACUCAUCAACCAAAAAUACCGGCGUCGUCAACCAUGCUUUGAACUUUUGGAGAUCAAGCUGUACGGUUGUACCAUGAAGAUUUUUGAUGCAGUUUAAGGAUUCAAGUGGCGAUUGCAACCCAAAACAUUGCAAAGAAUCUACUACCAGAGGCUUCAUUAUGCACACCUUUUCUUUUUACAAAAUGGAGUCUGAUCUGCUGUCAUCACAUCACCAGGUUUGAUUCCUUUUGUGACACAUUAAGUGGCCUCACAGGUUGGUUGCACGUUUCCCUCUAUUAUGUAAGUAGUAACCCAUAGUGCCGCUUUUUUCCUUGGUGCUAAUAGAAACAAAUUCUCAAACAUAGUACACAAGAAAUAUUCAAUGGCAGGAACACCAGUACGAUAUUAUGCAUAUAUAAUCAUGAACAUACUACAAUAUUUGUUUCCUCAGGUUCUGUGCCCAGUUCAAUCACCGCUCCACACAGUAGGGUUAACCGAAGAUUCUCUUAGGUUCUGGGCCUCUGGACUGUACAAAAACACCAUGAGAAAACAAAACACCAUGAGAAAACUCUGUUAGAGCCAGCACACCUGUAGACUGUGAACCCAAGUAGCAGAACAUGACAAUUUUUUGUGAAAUCGGUCACUCCAUCUAACCACACUGAUUAAUGUGUUUAUCCAAGAAUAGUAUUCAGUAGAAUAGCAGACAAGAAUGGUAAAUCUCGACAGAUAGGAGAGAAAUUGUGUAGUAAGGCAGCAAAGCGAAGCUGGGACUGAACCUGGAGACCAUAUCGGAUGACGCCGAUCUGCUCAACACCCUUGAACGGCUCCGGGAGCAGCGGGAACAGGUUUCGCCCUCGUGCCACCAGGUUUUGCCGUCCUGUUGCUGGUUGGCGAGCCGAUACUUCCCGUCGGCCUUGUUGGUAUCGGAAACGCUGGAGAAGAGCUACGCCGCAGGCAUGAAGUCCUUCCCGGUGACCAGGUAUCCGUCGGGGACUCGAACGUCCACCAUACGACCGUGUCGUCAGCGUGGAACAACACAAAGUUGUCGUCAUCUCGCAGGGCGCCCGCAACUCAGGCAGAUCUGAUUGGGCGACCAGGUGAAAGGAGGGGCGGCCACCCACUCGACGGUGCGGUGCAGGGUGGCAAGGGAGCCGGCAGGGAGGCGUCAACGCGGUGCAUGGCCGUGAGGGAACCGUCUAGGGAGGCGACGAUGCGAUGCAGGGAUCGAGGCCGCCGUGCAGGGAGGCGACGGGGCUGCUGAGCUUCGUCUGGGGCGGUGGCGAGGAAAGGCAGGGAGAGGGGCGAGGGAGACGAUUAGGUUUAGUUUCCUUUUAUUCAAAUUGAUUAGAUGGUUAGAUUAGCGUGAUUUGAGGGCCUGCGGAGGUGGGAUGGAGAGUUUCAUGUUUUCAUCUGGUGGAGUAUGGUCAGUCCAUGUAAACUGCUAAGCGCACA
This is a long non-coding RNA of Triticum dicoccoides, 2155 nucleotides long. RefSeq lists it as uncharacterized. The transcript has 4 exons. NCBI's taxonomy places the organism in Eukaryota, Viridiplantae, Streptophyta, Magnoliopsida, Poales, Poaceae. The record is from RefSeq and is a predicted model, not a curated record.